GAGGAAGUGUCAGAUCUAGGCAGAGGUCUCUUCUCCUUCGCUUCCCAGCACAAAUAGAGACCUCUGCCAGCAGGGAAAGACACUUUCUGAGUGCACACAAAACAAUAUAGCUUGAAUCGAAGCGAACAACGUAAUCCAUUGUAAAUAAGUAGUUUUCCUUGGCGUAGCCUGCGUCACAGACGCUCGCGGGCGGAAAUAUCACAUUACACAGACUAUGUCGUGGACUAUCCUUGACACGGCCUGCAUGCAAAUUUGGGAAGUGCCUAUAUGCAUUUGAAUGGCAGUUUGAAGAUUUUUUAUACAAAUAUUUACAUUCGCGUGACUCGCAAAUUGGACGCAUGCAUGCAGUAUGCUUGAACUGCAGACGUUAAUUUAAUUGAAGAAAAAAUUACUAGCUC
This is a non-coding RNA of Paramuricea clavata, 398 nucleotides long. NCBI's taxonomy places the organism in Eukaryota, Metazoa, Cnidaria, Anthozoa, Malacalcyonacea, Plexauridae. The record is from the annotation of a GenBank genome assembly.